This 248-nucleotide unclassified non-coding RNA is filed under the name uncultured fungus. RNAcentral describes it as "sequence contains ITS1". Lineage: Eukaryota; Fungi. The record is from RNAcentral.
GUAAUAUUUUAGGCAUCAUCAUUCUACAAACAUUAUAAGUGGUUUGUUAUAAAGGGGGCAAAGUGCAGCCUUAAGCAAGUCAACGAAGACUCGCAACCUCUCGCAGUAAAGUAAGAGGGACCACGACUUUGAAAGUGCACAGUGGUUGAAUGAAUUUGAGAUGUUGCAGACCGAGCACAUGCAUAUAGCCAGCAUCAAGUCCACUUCAAAGCUCAAUAAUGAUCCUUCCGCAGGUUCACCUACGGAAA